UACGGAAGGCAGCAGUGGGGAAUAUUGCACAAUGGGCGAAAGCCUGAUGCAGCUAUGCCGCGUGUAUGAAGAAGGCCUUAGGGUUGUAAAGUACUUUCAUCGGGGAGGAAAAACAAAACUAAUAAUUUUAUUUCUUGACGUUACCCGAAAAAGAAGCACCGGCUAACUCCGUGCCAGCAGCCGCGGUAAUACGGAGGGUGCUAGCGUUAAUCAGAAUUACUGGGCGUAAAGAGCACGUAGGUGGUUUUUUAAGUCAGAUGUGAAAUCCCUGGGCUUAACCUGGAACUGCAUUUUGAAACUGAAAUACUAGAGUAUCGUAGAGGGAGGUAGAAUUCUAGGUGUAGCGGUGAAAUGCGUAGAUAUCUGGAGGAAUACCUGUGGCGAAAGCGGCCUCUAAACGAAUACUGACACUGAGGUGCGAAAGCGUGGGGAGCAAAACAGGGAUUAGAUACC
Molecule: ribosomal RNA, 453 nt
Filed under: uncultured bacterium
Lineage: Bacteria
Description: bacterial SSU rRNA
Rfam family: Bacterial small subunit ribosomal RNA
Source: RNAcentral